GAUGAAGAACACAGCGAAAUGCGAUACUUGGUGUGAAUUGCAGAAUCCCGUGAACCAUCGAGUCUUUGAACGCAAGUUGCGCCUCAAGCCAUUAGGUUGAGGGCACGUCUGCCUGGGCGUCACAUAUCGUUGCCUGAUGCCAGUUUCCUCGUGAUGGGUGACUGUGCAGGGCGAAUGAUGGCUUCCCGUGAGCAUUGUUGCCUCAUGGUUGGUUGAAAAUUGAGUCCUUGGUAGGGAGCGCCGUGAUAGAUGGUGGUUGAGUGACGAACGAGACCCAAUCAUGUGAGACCCCUACCGAAUUUGGCCUUCAUGACCCACAUGCGUCUUUGGAACGCUCAUGACGAGACCUCAGGUCAGGCGGGGCUACCCGCUGAGUUUAAGCAUAUCAAUAAGCGGAGGA
This 400-nucleotide unclassified non-coding RNA is filed under the name soil metagenome. RNAcentral describes it as "partial contains 5.8S ribosomal RNA, internal transcribed spacer 2, and large subunit ribosomal RNA". The stretch from base 1 to 122 matches the Rfam family "5.8S ribosomal RNA", at positions 35 to 154 of the family's 154-position model. The record is from RNAcentral.